AUUGAACGCUGGCGGCAUGCUUUACACAUGCAAGUCGAACGGCAGCGGGGUAGUGCUUGCACUACUGCCGGCGAGUGGCGAACGGGUGAGUAAUAUAUCGGAACGUACCGAGUAAUGGGGGAUAACCAAUCGAAAGAUUGGCUAAUACCGCAUACGUCCUAAGGGAGAAAGCGGGGGAUCGCAAGACCUCGCGUUAUUCGAGCGGCCGAUAACUGAUUAGCUAGUUGGUGGGGUAAAGGCCUACCAAGGCGACGAUCAGUAGCGGGUCUGAGAGGACGAUCCGCCACACUGGGACUGAGACACGGCCCAGACUCCUACGGGAGGCAGCAGUGGGGAAUUUUGGACAAUGGGGGCAACCCUGAUCCAGCCAUGCCGCGUGUAUGAAGAAGGCCUUCGGGUUGUAAAGUACUUUUGUUAGGGAAGAAAAGGGAAGUGCUAAUACCACUUUUUGCUGACGGUACCUAAAGAAUAAGCACCGGCUAACUACGUGCCAGCAGCCGCGGUAAUACGUAGGGUGCGAGCGUUAAUCGGAAUUACUGGGCGUAAAGCGAGCGCAGACGGUUACUUAAGCAGGAUGUGAAAUCCCCGGGCUUAACCUGGGAACUGCGUUCUGAACUGGUAGCUAGAGUAUGUCAGAGGGGGGUAGAAUUCCACGUGUAGCAGUGAAAUGCGUAGAGAUGUGGAGGAAUACCGAUGGCGAAGGCAGCCCCCUGGGAUGAUACUGACGUUCAUGCUCGAAAGCGUGGGUAGCAAACAGG
This 758-nucleotide ribosomal RNA is filed under the name uncultured Eikenella sp. Its description in RNAcentral is "bacterial SSU rRNA". It matches the Rfam family "Bacterial small subunit ribosomal RNA", at positions 28 to 776 of the family's 1533-position model. The record is from RNAcentral. Lineage: Bacteria; Pseudomonadati; Pseudomonadota; Betaproteobacteria; Neisseriales; Neisseriaceae.